UUUUCAAGAUCACACCGACUAUCUGAAUCGAUGACGGUUAUUCAAUAUGAACAUCAACUAUAUACGAACAUGUAGUGUAAUUAUCGCUCAUGAACGGUCCAUUAUUUGAUCUUAACGGCAGUUGAUGGAGCAACUGUCCACUAAAUAUCAUAACUUUCACGUUCUGAAUAUUCAAAAGCGAUAGUUAUACAAUAACGAC
RNAcentral lists this long non-coding RNA (199 nucleotides) under Elaeis guineensis (African oil palm). RNAcentral's name for it is "long non-coding RNA (EGUI_LNC006297)". Lineage: Eukaryota; Viridiplantae; Streptophyta; Magnoliopsida; Arecales; Arecaceae. The record is from RNAcentral.